Molecule: ribosomal RNA, 395 nt
Filed under: uncultured bacterium
Lineage: Bacteria
Description: bacterial SSU rRNA
Rfam family: Bacterial small subunit ribosomal RNA
Source: RNAcentral
AUUGAACGCUGGCGGCAUGCCUAACACAUGCAAGUCGAACGGCAGCACGGCAGUAGCAAUACUGUGGGUGGCGAGUGGCGGACGGGUGAGGAAUACGUCGGAAUCUGCCCAGUCGUGGGGGAUAACUAGCCGAAAGGUUAGCUAAUACCGCAUACGACCGAGAGGUGAAAGCGGGGGACCGCAAGGCCUCGCGCGAUUGGAUGAGCCGACGUCGGAUUAGCUAGUUGGUGGGGUAAAGGCCCACCAAGGCGACGAUCCGUAGCUGGUCUGAGAGGAUGAUCAGCCACACUGGAACUGAGACACGGUCCAGACUCCUACGGGAGGCAGCAGUGGGGAAUAUUGGACAAUGGGCGGCAAGCCUGAUCCAGCAAUGCCGCGUGUGUGAAGAAGGCCUC